Molecule: ribosomal RNA, 433 nt
Filed under: uncultured bacterium
Lineage: Bacteria
Description: partial 16S ribosomal RNA
Rfam family: Bacterial small subunit ribosomal RNA
Source: RNAcentral
AACGAACGCUGGCGGCAUGCCUAACGCAUGCAAGUCGAACGAGACCUUCGGGUUUAGUGGCGCACGGGUGCGUAACGCGUGGGAACCUGCCCUUAGGUUCGGAAUAACUCCCCGAAAGGGGUGCUAAUACCGGAUAAUGUCUUCGGACCAAAGAUUUAUCGCCUUUGGAUGGGCCCGCGUUGGAUUAGCGAGUUGGUAGGGUAAAAGCCUACCAAGGCGACGAUCCAUAGCUGGUCUGAGAGGAUGAUCAGCCACACUGGGACUGAGACACGGCCCAGACUCCUACGGAAGGCAGCAGUGGGGAAUAUAGGACGAUGGGCGAAGGCCUGAUCCAGCAAUGCCGGGUAAGUGAUGAAGGCCGUAGGGAUGUAAAGCUCUUUUACCCGGGGUGAUAAUGACAGUACCGGGAGAAUAAGCUCCGGCUAACUCCGUG